Molecule: non-coding RNA, 266 nt
Filed under: Paenibacillus selenitireducens
Lineage: Bacteria; Bacillati; Bacillota; Bacilli; Caryophanales; Paenibacillaceae
Description: T-box sequence
Rfam family: T-box leader
About the family: Uncharged tRNA acts as the effector for transcription antitermination of genes in the T-box leader family. T-boxes are found upstream of many aminoacyl-tRNA synthetase genes and some amino acid biosynthetic genes usually in Gram-positive bacteria.
Source: RNAcentral
UGAAAGACGUAGAUAGGGAAUAGUAAGCACUGAACCCUUCAGAGAGUGGAACCGUUACGCUGUGAGGUUUCAUAGGAUGUAGCUGCUGAAGUCGCCCUGGAGUCGUUUGCAUCGAAAUCUUCGACAAUUGGGGUUUUCAGAUUGUUGUAGUGUAGAGCAAGCCGGUAACAGCCGUUAUCUGUUCAAGUGUCGUGUAUAAACCGUCAUUAAGGUUGAAUAUGCGAAACAAAGGUGGUACCACGGAAGAUAACCCUUUCGUCCUUUGA